Molecule: ribosomal RNA, 264 nt
Filed under: Escherichia coli
Lineage: Bacteria; Pseudomonadati; Pseudomonadota; Gammaproteobacteria; Enterobacterales; Enterobacteriaceae
Also listed under: 2 other names
Description: partial 23S ribosomal RNA
Rfam family: Bacterial large subunit ribosomal RNA
Source: RNAcentral
UCAGAAGUGCGAAUGCUGACAUAAGUAACGAUAAAGCGGGUGAAAAGCCCGCUCGCCGGAAGACCAAGGGUUCCUGUCCAACGUUAAUCGGGGCAGGGUGAGUCGACCCCUAAGGCGAGGCCGAAAGGCGUAGUCGAUGGGAAACAGGUUAAUAUUCCUGUACUUGGUGUUACUGCGAAGGGGGGACGGAGAAGGCUAUGUUGGCCGGGCGACGGUUGUCCCGGUUUAAGCGUGUAGGCUGGUUUUCCAGGCAAAUCCGGAAAA